UCCAUCAAAACAAUUAGGAGACCCCAGGCUGUUGUCUUCUGGAAACUUCCUUCUACCAGCAACAGUUUCCCACCCGCCCAUGCCACUCCCAACAUCCAAAUGGUUUCCAAAGCUGCAGUCAGUUUCCAGGAUGACUCCUCCCAGUGUCAUCCCAAAGCAUCUGAUUCACACAUCCCAGCAGCAGCCAUACCUCAGACCCUGAGGCAGCACAAACAUGGCUCCAGCUUGGAAUAGAAGCAGAUGCUCCCUCCCCAGAGCCAAGAUCACCCAGAAGAAGACCUGGGCACAGGGAAGGAGGAGAAGAUGAGGAGAAGGGCACUCCAGAAGCCUCCAUGUCCCUUGGGAGGGAGAGAAAAAAAGCCUUCUCCACACAGAAGACCGGAUGGUUGAACUGUCCUCUGACCUCCCUGCGGGACUGCUUGUGAGGUGGGCCUGGAGGGACACAGGGUGGCAAGGAAAAGACAUUUUGAAUUUUUAAGUUGUGUGAGACAGCCUGUUGUCGGGCAGGGAAGAGCGCCUGUUUGCCUGAGAGUCAUCUCUGCCUGGAAAACAGGGUUUCUAUCCCGGGCCUGGCUGCAUUUACCCUGGCAACGCUGACGCACAGAGUGUGAUUGGGAUUGGAAAAGGCAACUUGGGGAAACUCAGAGCUGGUGUCUCUGAACCACAAGAAACCCAUCAGGGUGCCCUCGGGUCCGCACUCCAGGCUCCUCGGGAACCUGAAGCCACAUUUGAAAAGAUGAGGUAACUAUGGGGUCGGGCGCAGAGACACGUCUUUUCAAUAUGAAUAAAGAGGAACGAAAUAAUGGCUUCCUCUGUGAAAACUCCACUGGUCUUCCGAAUUGAAAACCGGAUGAAAUUCUGCUGACCGUUAGGAAUUCAGUCUUUAAAAUUGCCAAGCCACUAACCAUCAUAACAGAAAAUUACCAUAUGGAAAAGUUAUCAACAUGUCCUUUUUGGAAGCAGAAAAUCACUGCAAUGUUUAUAAGUAUCAAAAAAAAAUCCAUUCAACAUGUUUCUGGGCAUUUUUCCUCCCAUUGGGGUGAGUACAGCAUUCCCAUUAACAGCAGAGUGAAGUAUUCAUGUUCUCAGAAGUGGCAAUGGGCUAAUUGCAGAUGAAGGACAUAAAUUCUGCUCAAGAGCCCAGGCACGGCUCCCACACCCACACAGCGGCCCGCUCCUUUGGUUCAGGCACUCGGAUGGAAGUGCUGCUUUUUUAUUCCAGAAGCCCUAGUGGGUAGCUCAGGCCCCACACACGAAGGGUCUGGAUAACUAUUAUUUUCCAGCACUUACUGCAACCUUCUCCUGAUCCAGCUGUGAGGGAGUGGGAGGUGCAGGCCCUGGUGGGGUGUGUGUCAGGAUUUAAGUCAAACUUUAUUAUUUUUUUUUUAAAUUGGCUUUUUCUUCUCUUUCUAUGGCAACAGCACACUGCAGAUUGCUUUGAUCUAUCUUUUCAACCAUCAUAGGUUGAGAGUCGGAGUGUGCUACUUACUAAUUGCCAACUGGGACAUCAGUCAGGAGAGCCACACAAACUGUGAUGACAGGCCAGGUGAAGAAGGCCCACGCGCCAACCCCCACCAUCUACGCAGAACGCCAGAGAACAGGUGGACAUUCUGUGAGGAUGUGGCCAUGACCGCCAGCGGCUGCUGCUCUCAUCCUCUGGGUUCCUGCGUGAUUCCACAUUUCAGUUGUAUUGAAAUGAAAGUGGGCAAAAUUCCCCUGAUCUUUCCCCACUGGGCUACCAGUGCAGCUGGGAGAGAGGGUUUGGGGGGCAGAUCUGGGAGAUAAAGACAGGAGAGGGCCAUAGUAGGGUUCCAAGUGGAAAAGCUCUCCAGCAGGUAGCUCAGAACAGAGAGCAGAUAACUGAUAGCUGCUGGUGAAGUCCUGUCCCAAAAGUGAGUGUCCCACUGUAGCAGCUGGCAGGGACUGUGCUUGGAGCCAAGAACAAAGCAUGGGCCACAGUUUAGCCAAGAACACCUCUUCCCAGAGCUGGGAACCCCUGUCUUCCCUGUAGCCCACAUGAACCUCUGACAUUCUAGGUCAGUGAUUCCUUAACCAUAGCGCUCGAGGAUUCUCUGAUCUCAAUAUAGACUGCUCUCGCUGUUUAUUUCUUUCUGGUGAGAAUUCAGCAUCCAUUUUAUGGGAAAAGGAGGAGGGGGUGGGGAGGAAAUGGCCCAGAACUAGAUUGUCCAUGAUUGCUUUGGUUGAAAGUGUAAUCCUGUUCUUGGGAGCAGGGGAUCAAAAUUGUACCCAGGUCCAAAAAAAUAAAAUAAAAUAAUUGAAAACAUUUGUUGCUAUUAUGGGGAUAUUAAACACACAUCCCCAGGAUGAAACAACUGUCUUCUGGAAUAGGAGCCAGAAGCCAGUACCUUCGCAGAGCUCUUCCUGACACCUCACUCGGGAGAAAAGUCCAACCCUUUCCCUGCUUCCCCUCACCAUUAGCACCUGUCCCCUGCAUUAUCACAGGUCGAGUCACCUGUGCGCCUCAGUGGUGGACCAGCAGUGACUCUUCUGGUCCCAUCACUUCUGAGCAGGCAGAGGAAUUCACAUCUCUCUGCCCACAGCAAUCUAAGGAAACUGCCACAAAGGAAGCAAGGAAACAAAAGAAGGUGUUCAGCCUUAAUUUUAAAAAUACAUGUGCAAC
Lutra lutra (Eurasian river otter) is the source of this 2641-nucleotide long non-coding RNA. RefSeq lists it as uncharacterized. Lineage: Eukaryota; Metazoa; Chordata; Mammalia; Carnivora; Mustelidae. The record is from RefSeq and is a predicted model, not a curated record. The transcript is spliced from 6 exons.